RNAcentral lists this ribosomal RNA (198 nucleotides) under Escherichia coli. Its description in RNAcentral is "partial 16S ribosomal RNA". It matches the Rfam family "Bacterial small subunit ribosomal RNA", at positions 114 to 315 of the family's 1533-position model. Lineage: Bacteria; Pseudomonadati; Pseudomonadota; Gammaproteobacteria; Enterobacterales; Enterobacteriaceae. The record is from RNAcentral.
UGUCUGGGAAACUGCCUGAUGGAGGGGGAUAACUACUGGAAACGGUAGCUAAUACCGCAUAACGUCGCAAGACCAAAGAGGGGGACCUUCGGGCCUCUUGCCAUCGGAUGUGCCCAGAUGGGAUUAGCUAGUUGGUGGGGUAACGGCUCACCUAGGCGACGAUCCCUAGCUGGUCUGAUAGGAUGACCAGCCACACUG